Molecule: long non-coding RNA, 1137 nt
Filed under: Androctonus crassicauda
Lineage: Eukaryota; Metazoa; Arthropoda; Arachnida; Scorpiones; Buthidae
Source: RNAcentral
AUGCUGUUUUACGUAAAAGCAGUUUGAAGAGAAUAUUCUUAUUAAUCCAAUAAAAAUAUAAUACUUAUUGGACAGUAUAUUUUUUUAAAUAAAAUAACUGUAUUUGUAUUCAAUUUAAUUACUAAAAUUGCAAAUCAAACUAAAACUUGUAACGGUGCCAUUACUUAACCUAACUAUCAAUGCUCCGUUUAAUAACUUAUUCCAAAAUGAUACUUAAGAAGACAGAAAUAUUGUCAAAUAUAUAUUUGUCUAUAUCAUUUCAAGCAAGCAAACAUUAACAGAUAUAGAACCAUAUUAUCAUUUCUCCAUCUAUUGAAAAUUUUCUUGAAUCCUCUACAAUAAAAUUUUUCAUAUUAAAACAUUCAAAUAGUGUAUUGAAACAAUGUCCUAUUUGCGUUGAUAAUUUACGUAGAUAUAAAUAACAUCGCUAGCUACAUAAAUUAUCGAUGCAAAUAAAGAAGAGCUAACAAUAAUUUGUUAAAUUUGACAAAUUACUGUUAGCUCCUCUUUGAUGAUAGCGUAUAUUUUAAUCUUAUUCCGCAAAUAUUAAGAAAAAUAACGAAUUAUAAUAAUCAUAAUUUUAAGUCAAAAUGAUGCGCAUAUGGAAGGACAUACUGUCGCUUUCCCUUAUUAACUCAUUAUGACAAUCACGUAAUAAAUUCAAAAUAAACUAUACCAAUAAUAACAACAUUGAACAAUAACUAAACGAUUAUUGUUCAAAUAUUACUACUAGUUAAAUUCAAACAGAUAAUAUAGGCAGUGAUUAUAGUUACAGUAAUUAUGUGAUGGAUCGUACUUAUGUUUUAAAUUAUGACAAGUGUUUCAGAUUGUUUAUCUUGAUGAUGAUAAAUGUAUUUAGAACAGUGAUUUCCAAAGUAGUCAGUAUCGACCCCUUGGGAUCGAUAAGAAUCUUCAAAUCGAUCGAUAAUAGUUUUAAUAGAUCACUUGAUGUUUUACUGGUAUUCAUAUAUUUCUGGCUAUUUCCAGAAAUAGUAGUAUUUUCGAUAUUUCUUCUAAAAUAUAAAAUAUCCAUAGCUUAUUAUAUUGCAAAAAUUUAAUUUGAAAAAUCUAAAAAAUAUGCAGUUAAAUUUUUAUUUAUUAUAUAGUUCCCAGAACUUUACUAUUUCAUUGUUUUCU